CAAGUUAGAGCUUUUCUAAGCGUUUUAUUUACAUUAAGAAGUGAGGCUGAUAAUUCAGCUUGAUUUGA
This 68-nucleotide transfer RNA is filed under the name Histeridae sp. BMNH 1274745. RNAcentral's name for it is "tRNA-Val". The record is from RNAcentral. Lineage: Eukaryota; Metazoa; Arthropoda; Insecta; Coleoptera; Histeridae.